AAUAGAUACCCUGGUAGUCCACGCCGUAAACGAUGAGUGCUAAGUGUUAGAGGGUUUCCGCCCUUUAGUGCUGAAGUUAACGCAUUAAGCACUCCGCCUGGGGAGUACGGCCGCAAGGCUGAAACUCAAAGGAAUUGACGGGGGCCCGCACAAGCGGUGGAGCAUGUGGUUUAAUUCGAAGCAACGCGAAGAACCUUACCAGGUCUUGACAUCCUCUGACAACCCUAGAGAUAGGGCUUCUCCUUCGGGAGCAGAGUGACAGGUGGUGCAUGGUUGUCGUCAGCUCGUGUCGUGAGAUGUUGGGUUAAGUCCCGCAACGAGCGCAACCCUUGAUCUUAGUUGCCAUCAUUCAGUUGGGCACUCUAAGGUGACUGCCGGUGACAAACCGGAGGAAGUGGGGAUGACGUCAAAUCAUCAUGCCCCUUAUGACCUGGGCUACACACGUGCUACAAUGGACGGUACAAAGAGCUGCAAGACCGCGAGGUGAGCUAAUCUCAUAAAACCGGUUCUCAGUUCGGA
This 519-nucleotide ribosomal RNA is filed under the name uncultured bacterium. RNAcentral describes it as "bacterial SSU rRNA". It matches the Rfam family "Bacterial small subunit ribosomal RNA", at positions 777 to 1297 of the family's 1533-position model. The record is from RNAcentral.